Molecule: ribosomal RNA, 807 nt
Filed under: uncultured bacterium
Lineage: Bacteria
Description: bacterial SSU rRNA
Rfam family: Bacterial small subunit ribosomal RNA
Source: RNAcentral
AGAGUUUUUUCCUGGCUCAGGAUGAACGCUGGCGGCGUGCUUAACACAUGCAAGUCGAACGAAGCACUCUAUUUGAUUUUCUUCGGAAAUGAAGAUUUUGUGACUGAGUGGCGGACGGGUGAGUAACGCGUGGGUAACCUGCCUCAUACAGGGGGAUAACAGUUGGAAACGACUGCUAAUACCGCAUAAGCGCACAGGAUUGCAUGAUCCGGUGUGAAAAACUCCGGUGGUAUGAGAUGGACCCGCGUCUGAUUAGCCAGUUGGCAGGGUAACGGCCUACCAAAGCGACGAUCAGUAGCCGACCUGAGAGGGUGACCGGCCACAUUGGGACUGAGACACGGCCCAAACUCCUACGGGAGGCAGCAGUGGGGAAUAUUGCACAAUGGGGGAAACCCUGAUGCAGCGACGCCGCGUGAGCGAAGAAGUAUUUCGGUAUGUAAAGCUCUAUCAGCAGGGAAGAAGAAUGACGGUACCUGACUAAGAAGCACCGGCUAAAUACGUGCCAGCAGCCGCGGUAAUACGUAUGGUGCAAGCGUUAUCCGGAUUUACUGGGUGUAAAGGGAGCGCAGGCGGUGCGGCAAGUCUGAUGUGAAAGCCCGGGGCUCAACCCCGGUACUGCAUUGGAAACUGUCGUACUAGAGUGUCGGAGGGGUAAGUGGAAUUCCUAGUGUAGCGGUGAAAUGCGUAGAUAUUAGGAGGAACACCAGUGGCGAAGGCGGCUUACUGGACGAUAACUGACGCUGAGGCUCGAAAGUGUGGGGAGCAAACAGGAUUAGAUACCCUGGUAGUCCACACUGUAAACGAUGA